GAAGGUAAAAAGCGUAACAAGGUCUCCGUUGGUGAACCAGCGGAGGGAUCAUUAAAGAGUGUAAAAACUCCCAAACCCCUGUGAACAUACCUACUGUUGCCUCGGCAGGCACAGGCUACCCGGGACUUCCGGGUGGGAAACACUACCCGGUACUUCCGGGUGUCCUACCCUGAACUUUCGGGUGCCCCAGCCUGCCGAAGGCCCUCGGAACUCUGUUUUAUCGUGGAACUCUGAAUUACAAAACAAACAAGUUAAAACUUUCAACAACGGAUCUCUUGGUUCUGGCAUCGAUGAAGAACGCAGCGAAAUGCGAUAAGUAAUGUGAAUUGCAGAAUUCAGUGAAUCAUCGAAUCUUUGAACGCACAUUGCGCCCAUUAGUAUUCUAGUGGGCAUGCCUGUUCGAGCGUCAUUUCAACCCUUAAGCCCUGUUGCUUAGUGUUGGGAGCCUACUGGCCCGGCCUGUAGCUCCUCAAAGUUAGUGGCGGAGUUAGCACUCACUCUAGGCGUAGUAACUACAAUCUCGCCUCUGUAGUGGUGCCGGCCCCUGCCGUAAAACCCCCUAAUUUUUCAAUGGUGACCUCGAUCAG
RNAcentral lists this ribosomal RNA (587 nucleotides) under Sordariomycetes sp. JDCH2. RNAcentral's name for it is "eukaryotic LSU rRNA". The stretch from base 256 to 409 matches the Rfam family "5.8S ribosomal RNA". Lineage: Eukaryota; Fungi; Ascomycota; Sordariomycetes. The record is from RNAcentral.